UGUAAGCGUGUACCAAAGUUGUUGCAGUUAAAACGCUCGUAGUCGGAAUUUGGCAGUUCCGGAAGUGUGCACGUCGUGUGCGCACUUCGCGGGGACUGCUUUUGUGGUCUUGCGUAGGAUGAGGCACUUUCAUUAGUGAACGUCCUCACGCAACCACUCUUUACUGUGAGAAAAUCAGAGUGCUCAAAGCAGGCAUUUGCCGUGAAUGUAUUAGCAUGGAAUAAUAGAAUAGGACUCGGUUCUAUUUUGUUGGUUUGUUGGGACUGAGUAAUGAUUAAGAGGGACAGUUGGGGGCAUUUGUAUUCCGGCGCUAGAGGUGAAAUUCUUAGAUUGCCGGAAGACAAACUGCUGCGAAAGCGUCUGCCAAGGAUGUUUUCAUUGA
Molecule: ribosomal RNA, 382 nt
Filed under: uncultured eukaryote
Lineage: Eukaryota
Description: partial 18S ribosomal RNA
Rfam family: Eukaryotic small subunit ribosomal RNA
Source: RNAcentral